GAUGAACGCUAGCGGGAGGCCUAACACAUGCAAGCCGAGCGGUAUUGUUUCUUCGGAAAUGAGAGAGCGGCGUACGGGUGCGGAACACGUGUGCAACCUGCCUUUAUCUGGGGGAUAGCCUUUCGAAAGGAAGAUUAAUACUCCAUAAUAUAUUGAACGGCAUCGUUUAAUAUUGAAAGCUCCGGCGGAUAGAGAUGGGCACGCGCAAGAUUAGCUAGUUGGUGAGGUAACGGCUCACCAAGGCAAUGAUCUUUAGGGGCCUGAGAGGUGAUCCCCCACACUGGUACUGAGACACGGACCAGACUCCUACGGGAGGCAGCAGUGAGGAAUAUUGGUCAAUGGGUGCAAGCCUGAACCAGCCAUCCCGCGUGAAGGACGACUGCCCUAUGGGUUGUAAACUUCUUUUGAUAGGGAUAAACCUUUCCACGUGUGGAAAGCUGAAGGUACUAUACGAAUAAGCAACCGGCUAACUCCGUGCCAGCAGCCGCGGUAAU
RNAcentral lists this ribosomal RNA (494 nucleotides) under uncultured bacterium. RNAcentral's name for it is "bacterial SSU rRNA". It matches the Rfam family "Bacterial small subunit ribosomal RNA", at positions 28 to 524 of the family's 1533-position model. The record is from RNAcentral.